GUGGGGAAUCUUGCGCAAUGGGCGAAAGCCUGACGCAGCCAUGCCGCGUGAAUGAUGAAGGUCUUAGGAUUGUAAAAUUCUUUCACCGGGGACGAUAAUGACGGUACCCGGAGAAGAAGCCCCGGCUAACUUCGUGCCAGCAGCCGCGGUAAUACGAUGGGGGCUAGCGUUGCUCGGAAUUACUGGGCGUAAAGGGCGUGUAGGCGGACAGUUUAGUCAGAGGUGAAAGCCCAGGGCUCAACCUUGGAAUUGCCUUUGAUACUGGCUGUCUUGGGUACGGGAGAGGUGAGUGGAAAUCCGAGUGUAGAGGUGAAGUUCGUAGAUAUUCGGAAGAAAACCAGUGGCGAAGGCGACUCACUGGCCCGUUACUGACGCUGAGGCGCGAAUGCGUGGGGAGCAAACAGGAUUAGAUACCCUUGUAGUCC
RNAcentral lists this ribosomal RNA (425 nucleotides) under uncultured bacterium. RNAcentral's name for it is "partial 16S ribosomal RNA". It matches the Rfam family "Bacterial small subunit ribosomal RNA", at positions 354 to 796 of the family's 1533-position model. The record is from RNAcentral.